CGGUCGCGCGCUCGCGGAUCCGCGGAUCAUAUUAAUCAGAUCCAACAAGCAACGUAAGUGUCGCUUCCGAAAGUAUUCCUUCGAAAGAAGGAGAAACUGAGCCACGAGAAACCGCAAAAACAUCACCAAAAGAUACUGCGGCGAUAGACAAAUCGAAAGAAGAGAGGUUACAGGAAUCGCAGAAGCAUCGGUGGGAGCUAUCGUCGAGCAACUACGACAUCACCAGCACAAUCGGCUGCGAAAAAAACCGCUACGAGUUCUCCAGUGAUCGAUACCUGGCCGGAUCGUCACGACGGCCCGCGCACGACGGCAGGCUAUCCAGUACUGAGACGCCGCGCUACAUCGUCUCUUCCACCGAACGUCUCCUGGCGUCGACGUCCUCUUCGUCGUCCUUUUCGUCAGAGACUACGACUCAAAUCUCUCUGCCGUCCGUCCGUGCGGCGUGCCUUCCUUCGGAACGCGCGACGGCCUUCCCUACUGGUCUUCCGCAACUCGUCCCAAGCAACUGGACGGAUCAACCAAAGCGGCGAUCUCAAGCACCAGCGGUAAAACCACUGUCACAAAGACAACAAUAACUACCAAAGCCGCGACGACAACAACAGCAGUGACGCGAAAAUUGGGUAUCAGAAAAGUGCAUCAUGCCUAAGGAUAUUCGAUAUUUAACAAAAAGACGAAGAAAUCAAUUAAUAAAUAUAGAGAUAAAUAGUAGAGAUAAUAGUAAUAGAAAAGAUUUGAUACA
Molecule: long non-coding RNA, 739 nt
Organism: Temnothorax curvispinosus
Lineage: Eukaryota; Metazoa; Arthropoda; Insecta; Hymenoptera; Formicidae
Exons: 3
Source: RefSeq, a predicted model, not a curated record